CUGAAUGGGCUAGGGCAUACACCAAUGUACCAAACCCUAUCAAACUCCGAAUACCUUAUAUGUAAUCACAGCAGUCAGGCGGCGAGUGAUAAAAUCCGUCGUCAAGAGGGAAACAACCCAGACUACCAGCUAAGGUCCCUAAAUCUUACUUAAGUGGAAAACGAUGUGAAGUUACUUAAACAACCAGGAGGUUGGCUUAGAAGCAGCCAUCCUUUAAAGAAAGCGUAAUAGCUCACUGGUCUAGUGAUUUUGCGCGGAAAAUAUAACGGGGCUAAAGUAAGUACCGAAGCUGUAGACUUGCACACAACUUAGAUUAUUUAAGUUUAGAAUAUUAAGAAACUAAGUUAUAUGUUUUAGUUAUAUUUUUACUGAUUUUUAUAGGGUAAAGAUAGAAAUAAAACUUAGUAAAAUCAGUAAAAAUAUUCUUAGGCUAAAGUUAAGUAGUUUAAGUUGUGUGCAAGUGGUAGGAGAGCGUUCUAUUUGCGUCGAAGGUAUACCGGUAAGGAGUGCUGGAGCGAAUAGAAGUGAGCAUGCAGGCAUGAGUAGCGAUAAUUAAUGUGAGAAUCAUUAACGCCGUAAACCCAAGGUUUCCUACGCGAUGCUCGUCAUCGUAGGGUUAGUCGGGUCCUAAGUCGAGUCCGAAAGGGGUAGACGAUGGCAAAUUGGUUAAUAUUCCAAUACCAACAUUAGUGUGCGAUGGAAGGACGCUUAGGGCUAAGGGGGCUAGCGGAUGGAAGUGCUAGUCUAAGGUCGUAGGAGGUUAUACAGGCAAAUCCGUAUAACAAUACUCCGAGAACUGAAAGGCUUUUUGAAGUCUUCGGAUGGAUAGAAGAACCCCUGAUGCCGUCGAGCCAAGAAAAGUUUCUAAGUUUAGCUAAUGUUGCCCGUACCGUAAACCGACACAGGUGGGUGGGAUGAGUAUUCUAAGGCGCGUGGAAGAACUCUCUUUAAGGAACUCUGCAAAAUAGCACCGUAUCUUCGGUAUAAGGUGUGGUUAGCUUUGUAUUAGGAUUUACUCCGAAAGCAAGGAAACUUACAACAAAGAGUCCCUCCCGACUGUUUACCAAAAACACAGCACUCUGCUAACUCGUAAGAGGAUGUAUAGGGUGUGACGCCUGCCCGGUGCUCGAAGGUUAAUUGAUGGGGUUAGCAUUAGCGAAGCUCUUGAUCGAAGCCCGAGUAAACGGCGGCCGUAACUAUAACGGUCCUAAGGUAGCGAAAUUCCUUGUCGGUUAAAUACCGACCUGCAUGAAUGGCGUAACGAGAUGGGAGCUGUCUCAAAGAGGGAUCCAGUGAAAUUGUAGUGGAGGUGAAAAUUCCUCCUACCCGCGGCAAGACGGAAAGACCCCGUGGACCUUUACUACAGCUUGACACUGCUACUUGGAUAAGAAUGUGCAGGAUAGGUGGGAGGCUUUGAGUAUAUGACGCCAGUUGUAUAUGAGCCAUUGUUGAGAUACCACUCUUUCUUAUUUGGGUAGCUAACCAGCUUGAGUUAUCCUCAAGUGGGACAAUGUCUGGUGGGUAGUUUGACUGGGGCGGUCGCCUCCCAAAUAAUAACGGAGGCUUACAAAGGUUGGCUCAGAACGGUUGGAAAUCGUUCGUAGAGUAUAAAGGUAUAAGCCAGCUUAACUGCAAGACAUACAAGUCAAGCAGAGACGAAAGUCGGUCUUAGUGAUCCGGUGGUUCUGUGUGGAAGGGCCAUCGCUCAAAGGAUAAAAGGUACCCCGGGGAUAACAGGCUGAUCUCCCCCAAGAGCUCACAUCGACGGGGAGGUUUGGCACCUCGAUGUCGGCUCAUCGCAUCCUGGGGCUGGAGCAGGUCCCAAGGGUAUGGCUGUUCGCCAUUUAAAGCGGUACGCGAGCUGGGUUCAGAACGUCGUGAGACAGUUCGGUCCCUAUCUGCCGUGGGCGUAAGAAGAUUGAAGAGAUUUGACCCUAGUACGAGAGGACCGGGUUGAACAAACCACUGGUGUAGCUGUUGUUCUGCCAAGAGCAUCGCAGCGUAGCUAAGUUUGGAAAGGAUAAACGCUGAAAGCAUCUAAGCGUGAAGCCAACUCUAAGAUGAAUCUUCUCUAAGCUCUCUAGAAGACUACUAGUUUGAUAGGCUGGGUGUGUAAUGGAUGAAAGUCCUUUAGCUGACCAGUACUAAUAGAGCGUUUGGCUUAUCUUU
This 2169-nucleotide ribosomal RNA is filed under the name Campylobacter jejuni. RNAcentral's name for it is "partial 23S ribosomal RNA". It matches the Rfam family "Bacterial large subunit ribosomal RNA", at positions 910 to 2925 of the family's 2925-position model. Lineage: Bacteria; Pseudomonadati; Campylobacterota; Epsilonproteobacteria; Campylobacterales; Campylobacteraceae. The record is from RNAcentral.